AUUGAACGCUGGCGGCAUGCCUUACACAUGCAAGUCGAACGGCAGCACGGGGCAACCUGGUGGCGAGUGGCGAGCGGGUGAGUAAUGCAUCGGAACGUACCUUUCAGUGGGGGAUAACGUAGCGAAAGUUACGCUAAUACCGCAUAUUCUGUGAGCAGGAUAGCAGGGGAUCGCGAGACCUUGCGCUGAUUGAGCGGCCGAUGUCAGAUUAGCUAGUUGGUGAGGUAAAGGCUCACCAAGGCGACGAUCUGUAGCGGGUCUGAGAGGAUGAUCCGCCACACUGGAACUGAGACACGGUCCAGACGCCUACGGGAGGCAGCAGUGGGGAAUUUUGGACAAUGGGGGCAACCCUGAUCCAGCCAUGCCGCGUGAGUGAAGAAGGCCUUCGGGUUGUAAAGCUCUUUCGGCCGGGAAGAAAUCGCACGGGCUAAUACCCUGUGUGGAUGACGGUACCGGAAUAAGAAGCACCGGCUAACUACGUGCCAGCAGCCGCCGUAA
Molecule: ribosomal RNA, 498 nt
Filed under: uncultured bacterium
Lineage: Bacteria
Description: partial 16S ribosomal RNA
Rfam family: Bacterial small subunit ribosomal RNA
Source: RNAcentral